CACUCCUGCGGGAGGCAGCAGUGGGGAAUUUUGGACAAUGGGCGAAAGCCUGAUCCAGCAAUGCCGCGUGAGUGAAGAAGGCCUUCGGGUUGUAAAGCUCUUUUGUCAGGGAAGAAACGGUGAGAGCUAAUAUCUCUUGCUAAUGACGGUACCUGAAGAAUAAGCACCGGCUAACUACGUGCCAGCAGCCGCGGUAAUACGUAGGGUGCAAGCGUUAAUCGGAAUUACUGGGCGUAAAGCGUGCGCAGGCGGUUUUGUAAGUCUGAUGUGAAAUCCCCGGGCUCAACCUGGGAAUUGCAUUGGAGACUGCAAGGCUAGAAUCUGGCAGAGGGGGGUAGAAUUCCACGUGUAGCAGUGAAAUGCGUAGAUAUGUGGAGGAACACCGAUGGCGAAGGCAGCCCCCUGGGUCAAGAUUGACGCUCAUGCACGAAAGCGUGGGGAGCAAACAGGAUUAGAUACCCGUGUAGUCCCAUGA
Molecule: ribosomal RNA, 475 nt
Filed under: uncultured organism
Description: partial 16S ribosomal RNA
Rfam family: Bacterial small subunit ribosomal RNA
Source: RNAcentral